CCUACGGGAGGCAGCAGUGAGGAAUAUUGGUCAAUGGGCGCGAGCCUGAACCAGCCAAGUAGCGUGAAGGAUGACUGCCCUACGGGUUGUAAACUUCUUUUAUAAAGGAAUAAAGUGAGUCACGUGUGCCUUUUUGUAUGUACUUUAUGAAUAAGGACCGGCUAAUUCCGUGCCAGCAGCCGCGGUAAUACGGAGGAUCCGAGCGUUAUCCGGAUUUAUUGGGUUUAAAGGGAGCGUAGAUGGGUUGUUAAGUCAGUUGUGAAAUGUUGGGGCUCAACCCGAAAAUUGCAAUUGAUACUGGCAGGCUUGAGUACAGUUGAGGUAGGCGGAAUUCGUGGUGUAGCGGUGAAAUGCUUAGAUAUCACGAAGAACUCCGAUUGCGAAGGCAGCUUACUAAACUGCCACUGACGUUGAUGCUCGAAAGUGUGGGUAUCAAACAGGAUUAGAUACCCUUGUAGUC
Molecule: ribosomal RNA, 460 nt
Filed under: uncultured bacterium
Lineage: Bacteria
Description: partial 16S ribosomal RNA
Rfam family: Bacterial small subunit ribosomal RNA
Source: RNAcentral